CCAGGAAUCUGUAGGACUCCACCAUCUCGAUGUCCAGACCCUGUAUGUUCACUGGAACUGUUUGAGGUGUCCCCCUCCUGCGGAAAUCCACAACCAUCUCCUUUGUCUUACUGGCGUUGAGCUGGAGGUGGUUUGUGCCACACCAGUUGACAAAGUCAGUGAUGACAGUCCUGUAUUCCCACUCAUCCCCUGACGAUACACAUCCGACGAUGGCUGUGUCAUCAGAGAACUUCUGGAGGUGACAGCUCCCAGAGUUAUAGCUGAAGUCAGAGGUGUACAGGGUGAAGAGGAAGGGGGAGAGCACUGUCCCCUGUGGAGCCCCCGUGCUGCAGACCACCAUGUCCGAUACACAGUUCUGAAGCCUCACAAACUGUGGUCUGUCGGUGAGGUAGUCCACGGUCCAUGCGGCUAGGUGACAGUCCACUCCCGCCCGCUCGAGCUUCCCCCUGAGCAAUGAAGGCUGGAUGGUGUUGAACGCACUGGAGAAGUCAAAAAACAUGACCCUCACAGUGCUGCCAGUGUUAGCAGGGGAGCACAGCUACUGGUAUACCGAUGGAUGGUCGCCCGGGGGACGUCAUCCUCAUCGACCGAGCGCAGAGCUUCGGGAGGGACACACAUGGAACGGCUAGGGAGGAAGGGGACACCCGCCUAGCCAGCCAGAUCAGCCGAAUCAACCCUAGCGAUCAAUGGGGUGACAGAUGUCGCAGCCAGAUCGCCCUCACAUGUAGAAAAAAUUACAACCAGAGCUCUGCUACAAUAUAAGAUUUUGGUGCUCUAAAACUUCUCUGAAGCCUUUGCUGAUUAAUAGGAUAGCCGACUCUCCAGCAUUAGCUGGUACGUCCCGUAUUUGAGCCAAAAGAGGCGCGUCGGGGGAUUUUGUCCCCGUCGGCGGAGUUGUCGGGGAAGAAGCAAGCGGCUAAAAUACGGAGGGAUCUGGUAAACCGGCGCGGAUCCGGUGUAUUUAUCAAAGCGUGGUGGCCGUGCUGAGGCACCGGGGGGAAUUUAGGCUAAACAGUAAGUCAAAAUAAAACGUUCACACUUACAGAUGCCACGUUUGUAGUAGGAUCACGGAUAGUUGGUACGGAUCCAUUCUUUAUCUUCAGACAUCUAGCAAAUCCAGCGUUGAGUUGUCCCUCGUUGAUAAAACAGUCUGAAGUGAAAUGGUGCGCACAUACGUAAAGAUAUUUUGGAAGUGCCGCGGGUACAUUCCCAUUAUAAAUAAAAUCCACCCAUUGAGUCCUCAAAUCCUCCGUCGAGGGAGUUUUCAAAAGAGUUUUGUGCUCGUUUGCGGAGCCAACAACAGAGCAAACACUGCCCCUUUUUUUUAGAUAGUACUUUCGCCAUGGUUCUAACCGGAGCAAUGCGAGCGAGCAGCCGGGAAUAAUGGCGGUGUUUUGAUAACUUUUUGGGCAGGUCAGUGGGCGGCUCCAUGGGCAGUACCAUCAACCCGCCAGCACUGACAUGACGUCAUGUCAGUGGAGUUUUCAGAACGGCCGGCUCUGAGCACACAGUUCCUAAAUACGGAGAUAACUAAAAAAUGACUGGAUGGAAUUUUUUCGAACUUGGGGGGAUUGUAGCGGUUUUCUAUCCCUGAUAUGCACCCCCCCCCCCCCCCCCGUUAACGAAGUCAGUUUUUCAUGCCAUGGCCCCUUUAAACUGGAAGUUUGUCCGCUGUAUGACAGCUGCAUUUGAGCAAAUAAUGCCAAAAACUGUUAACUGAUGUACUGUCAGCAAUCAUUUAGGUCCUGUUCUCUUCAAGAAAAGGUAAUUAGGUUAGUGUUGUCACAAAACCAAAUAUUUGGCCUCAACUCUGUGGAGUCAAAAGGAGGCCUGGAAGCAUUGCAAAUGCAAGAGAGCUAAUGUAAACAAAAAAAAAAUAAUUGUAAACAUAAGUAAAGUAUUGUUAACAAAAUACAUAUAUACAUAACUGAUCACAGAAUUUUAAAAAAGGGAUUUUUUGCAUUUACAAAACCUAUUUUUUUUCAAUUUAUAAAACUUUUUUGCUUUUACAAUAUUUUUCUAUGUUUACUUUAUUUUGCUAGCUACAGCACAUUUUCAGAGCCUUUUCAGGUUUAUCAUGGUGUGUUGACACAUGAUAAAGCCUAAAUCCUAGAAUAAUUUAUUAACUUUACAUACCUGAGAUCCUGGACUUGAAGCAUUGGGCUACCUUGAACCACCACUGUUAUGGUUUGCCAUGAUUCUAUGGUUUUGUUUAAAUUUUUCUCUUUGGUCGCGCUACUCAUCUAACCCCGCCCCCACUGACACACCACUCAUCUUACCCCUGCCCCCAUGUCAAAGAGGGGCCAGAAUGUUUUGUAAGUGCAGAAAAGUUUUGUUAAAAAAAUUCAAGUUUUCUGAAUGCAAAAAAUACCUAAUUUUUAAAAACUCUGUGAUCAAUUAUAUAAUUUUUUUUGUUUACAAUGUCUCACUUGCUUUUGCAAUGCUUCCUGGCCUCUUUUUGACUCCAUACAACUCUUGAUAUAAAGUUUGAUAUCUCAGUGACUGGUAUCUGUUGGAAGUAUAUUUCAGAAGCUCUGUUGAUUAAAGUUUAAAUUUUUUCAUAAUAGAAAAAUCCAGGCUGGCUAUAGAAGGUGGUUAAAAAACAUAUAUGGGACAACAAUUGGCUCUGGACCCAUCACAAUUCAUUUACUAGACACCUUAAGGAUAACAAUAUGCUAAGUUAGAAAAAUAUAUCUUUAAGUGCAGAAGAAGUUACCUCUAGCCACACACAUACCUGCUUUAGGAGGGGUUUGGUGGUCUUCACCCUGGGUCUGUAUGCUGGUCUGAGCAGGAUGGUGUUUGGUCAGAGAUUCUGAUGUGAGGGAGGGAAGAAGCCCUAUAUGCUCCUUUUCGGUCUGCAUGAUUAACAUCACCAGCAAGGAUAGGAAAGGCUUCUCAGUUGGCUGUCAGUUGAAAAAGUUUAUUGAGUGCCUUCUUUCCAUCAGCAUUAUAAGCUCUGGGAGGAUUUUAAACAGCGGUCAGCAGAAUUGUUGUAAAUUCCCGCAACAGAUAGAAAGGAUGGGGCUUUAUGAUCAUUAACUCCUCCAGGGAUGAACCUGAGAAAACCUGAGUUACUGUCUAUUAGUUGUGCUAAAGAAAAAAAAAAACUGGCCUGCUGGGAGCAGGUCUGGUCAGUCUGACAGCAGGAAGGGAAGACUUGUGUUGUCUCUCUGUCACACAGCACAGAUGAAGAAGCCUGUCACUGAAGGAGCUGUUACAAUGCUCUGCAGGGGGUGGGAGACAUUGUCUAUGAGAGAUGAUAGCUUAGUCAUCAUCCUCCUGUCCCCAAACUCCUCUACAGAGUCCACAGGGCAGCCCAGGACAGAGCUAGUCUUCCUCACCAGUUUGUUCAGUCUGUUCCUGUCUGCAGUCUUGAUGCUGCUGCUCCAGCAGACCACUCCAUAGAGGAUGGCUGAGGCCACCACAGUCCUAAUAAAAAAACACAGGGGUGCUCUUUGCACACCAAAGGACUGCAGUCUCCUCAGAAGGUGGAAUCAGCUCUGGCCUUUCCUGAAAAGUGAGUGUUGUCAGUCCAUAAUCUCGAGGUCCUUUUUCUUAAGCCUCCACAAGGAUUUCUCCUGCCGCUCUUGUUGUCAUGGUGAAUCUGUAAAACUGCAAUCAAUGGCGGAGUCUAUUUGAGAAGGCCGCAUGGGCCACUUAGCCAGGAUUGGUAUUACAUGGCUCGAUGAAUCCAUGUACUGUAUACUCAUCCCGCCUUGGUUUUUGUACAACCAAUUAAGCCUCAACGUGCUUGUUUAGGAUUCCUUGAACCCAGCUCAGUCAUUAAUCCUGGAUAUCUUAAUCCUCGUUUCGUGCAAUAGGCCCCAGGAGAUAGUAUGUUGCUUUUCGAAGUGUUUACAGUGUGUGUUGAUAAUGUGAUGGACUAAAAGUGUUCUCUGACGAGUGUAGGAGCAUUUAGACCUGAAAACAGUUUCAUGUGGAUCAGCACCCGCUGCCUUUUUUUCCUGAAGCAUAUCUAAGCUGUUUUUUUUUUUAAAUUAUUUUUAUUUAACCUCAUUUUGAUCUUUCACCUUUUUUUGUUGUCCCAAUGAAAAAUAAUUUUCUUCCUCCUUCAGUUUCCCCCCCUCAUGCCUUGUCCUGAUACUCUCUCAUAGUCCUUAAAAUGAUCAAUUAUUAUCUUCUACCUUUUGUAGUUUUCAGCACACAUCUCAGACUCAUCUCCGUUCUGAGGAGCUGGGCUGAUAAUGGGGACAAAAUGAGCAGGAUAACAAAAGAUCCUGUGCAGUGAAUUGUUCACUCAGGGUGACAGCUUCUCAUUAUGAACUCACACAUUCACUAGGUUGCAUAACAUCAAGUUACAGCGCAGUGUUUUACCAAAGCAAGCCAACCAAAGCAGUAUUAAUAUUUCUCUCUGCAACACAAAGCUAAAGAAAAUGAUUCUCAUUCUCAUUUACUUCCUAAAGCAUAUCUUUCUUUGUUUGAGGUUAAAUUCCCUUGAGUGACCCGUCUGUCCUCUCUUUACUUUUCCCUAUUCAUUUUUGCACCCCUUCCCUGGAGUAUAGCAUACAUUUUAGGACACCCUUGAGUAUCAGAGUCAAGUCUCAGACCUCAGAUAAAACAGCCUUAGGUGUCAGACAAAAGGGCCUCAGGUCUCAGGAAAAACAUUAUUGAUAUAUAAUGAUGUACUAUGUAUUGAUGACAUUCCAUUGGUCCUUGGCCAGCUUGGCCCGCCCGCUGCUUACUGUCACACAUGAGAGAGUUUUUCCUGAGACCUGAGGCCAAUUUUUCAUACACUGUGUGCACAAUUAUUAGGCAAGUUGUAUUUUUGAGGAUAAACUUUAUUUUUGAACAACUACAGUGCUCUUGGUCAAUCCAAAAUAUUAAUAAACCUCAAACCUUGAUAUUUAAGGGAGUAAAAGUGAGAUUUUGACUUCCUUAGGAGAAUAUCUAUGUGUGCACAAUUAUUGGGGGCAGCUAUAGUGUGCAGAAUUAUUAUGCAACUAAAUUAAAAAUGAAAAAUUUUCCAUCUCACUUGUUAAUUUUCACUUGUUCAAGUGAGAAUGAUAAACAAACAACUCAAUUUACAAAUAAAAAUUGUUGAAAUUUAAAAAAAAAAAUCAGUGACCAAUAUAGCCACCCUUCUUUUCAUUAACAGUCAUAAGCUUUCCAUUCAUGGAGUCUUUCAGUUUCUUGAUCUGUUGACGAUCAACUUUUUGUGUUGCAGCAACCAAAGCCUCCCAGACACUGUUCCAGACACUGUUCAGAGAGGUGUACUGUCUUCCUUCACUGUAAAUUUCCCGUUUAAGAAGGGCUCACAGGUUCUCAACAGGGUUUAGGUCAGGUGAAGAAGGAGGCCAUGUCAUUAUUCUUUCGUUUUUAAGGCCUUUACUGGUGAGUGGAUUUGGGAGUUGAUUUUAAGUCCAUCUUUAACCCAAAAGGUCCAGCUAGCUCAUCUUUAAUAAUACCAGCCCAUACCAGUACCCCGCCUCCACCUUGCUGGUAUCUGAUUCGAAGUGGAGCUUUACAGUUAAUUUGCGUCUUUUUUUCUUAACACAUUUCUUGCGACCCUGUUGACUAUUUGCAUCAAAAUGUUUGCUGAUUCUGUCAUCACGCCCAAAUAUCUAAGCAAUUUCAAGAGUGCUGCAUCCCUCUGAAAGACUUUUUACAUUUUUUGACUUUUCAGAGUCACUUAAAUCUCUUUUUUUGGCCCAUUUUACCUGAGGAAAAGAAGCUGCCUAAUAAUUAUGCACACCUUGAUAUAGGGUUUUGAUCUCCUUAGGCCCCAGCCUCCCUCAUUACACUAAUACACAUUACCUGAUAUGCUUAUAUCCAAUAAGCAUUCAAGUUUAUACAGCUUGGAUUUGGAAAAUAUGCAUAAAAAUGAUGAUAUGAUCAAAAUACUCACUUGCCUAAUAAUUGUGCACACAGUGUAUGAGGUCUGGGACUUAGAAUAGAAUAGAAUAGAAUAGAAUAUUCCUUUAUUGAUCCCCCAUGGGGAAAAUUUUUUUGUCACAGCAGCAUCACAGACAAGACAAAAAGUGCAAAAAUGCAGUUAUAACAAUAAGGGUCCUAAUAUUAAGAACUUAAAUAAAUGUAAUAAUUAAGAAAAAAAUUAGAAAAGGGAGAAGAAAAAAAAGCUUUCUACAAUAUACACAAUUUAAAUGCCAUAAAAAAAAAAGUGGUGGUGUAAAUCCAGUUUUGUUACUGUUCAUUGUAAAGUCUUAUUGCAGAGGAGAGGAAUGAUCUGCGGUAGCGCUCCGUCCUGCAGGGUGGGAGUCUCAGUCUGCUGCUGAAGGAGCUGCCUAAAGCCACAGUCUGGUGCAGUGGGUGAGAGGGAUUGUCCAUGAUGGAUACAAGCUUUGUUAACAUCCUCCUCUCACCCACCUCCUCCAGGGAGUCCAAAGAGCAGUCCAGGACAGAACCGGCCCUCCUGACCAGUCUAUUCAGUCUCUUCCUGUCCCUCUCGGUGCUCCCUGCCCCCCAGCAGACCACUGCAUAGAAAAGUGCAGAUGCUACCACAGAGUCAUAAAAAGUCCUGAGCAGAGUCCUGCACACUCCAAAGGACCUCAGUCUCCUCAGCAGGUGGAGACGACUUUGGCCCUUCUUGUACAGAACGUCUGUGUUUGUUGACCAGUCCAGUUUGUUGUUGAGGUGGACACCCAGGAAUCUGUAGGACUCUACCAUCUCGAUGUCCAGACCCUGUAUGUUCACUGGAACUGUUUGAGGUGUCCCCCUCCUGCGGAAAUCCACAACCAUCUCCUUUGUCUUACUGGCGUUGAGCUGGAGGUGGUUUGUGCCACACCAGUUGACAAAGUCAGUGAUGACAGUCCUGUAUUCCCACUCAUCCCCUGACGAUACACAUCCGACGAUGGCUGUGUCAUCAGAGAACUUCUGGAGGUGACAGCUCCCAGAGUUGUAGCUUAAGUCAGAGGUGUACAGGGUGAAGAGGAAGGGGGAGAGCACUGUCCCCUGUGGAGCCCCCGUGCUGCAGACCACCAUGUCCGAUACACAGUUCUGAAGCCUCACAAACUGU
Molecule: non-coding RNA, 6994 nt
Organism: Xyrichtys novacula (pearly razorfish)
Lineage: Eukaryota; Metazoa; Chordata; Actinopteri; Labriformes; Labridae
Source: the annotation of a GenBank genome assembly